UCCGGCUUAUCACCGGCAGUCGCCUUAGAGUGCCCAACUAAAUGAUGGCAACUAAGGCCGAGGGUUGCGCUCGUUGCGGGACUUAACCCAACAUCUCACGACACGAGCUGACGGCAGCCAUGCAGCACCUGUGUGGAAGCCAGCCGAACUGAAGGGAUCAGUCGCCCGAUCCCAUACUUCCCAUGUCAAGAGCUGGUAAGGUUCUGCGCGUUGCGUCGAAUUAAACCACAUGCUCCACCGCUUGUGCGGGCCCCCGUCAAUUCCUUUGAGUUUUAACCUUGCGGCCGUACUCCCCAGGCGGAGUGCUUCAUGCGUUAGCUGCGACACCAAGGGACUGAGUCCCCCAACGUCUAGCACUCAUCGUUUACGGCGUGGACUAC
This 380-nucleotide unclassified non-coding RNA is filed under the name uncultured Alphaproteobacteria bacterium. RNAcentral describes it as "contains 16S-23S intergenic spacer region". Lineage: Bacteria; Pseudomonadati; Pseudomonadota; Alphaproteobacteria. The record is from RNAcentral.